GAAAUCAAGAGCCAGGAGCUUAGCCAACUGAGCCACCCAGAUGCCUCUAUAUACAUAUAUAGAUCCACACCAUUCCUUCAGUGGGGCCAGCUGCAAUUAUUCCACUCUCUGUGGGAAGAUAAGGUCAGGAGAAAUGAACUAUCUACUAAAGCCACUAUACAUUGAAAUUUCACCUGGAACAUAUCAAGUGGGUUGCAGAGAUCUCUCCCCCUGGAGCAUCAAAAGGAAAAUAUUAAACAUUCCCUUCCUUCAGAGUAUGAAUUGAAAAUGGACCCAUAUUUGACCAUUAAUGUAAACAUCUUUAAUAUCAUUAAAUAUUUUCAGGGCACCUGGCUGGCUCAGUCGGUUAAGCAUCCGACUUCGGCCUAAGUCAUGAUCUCGUGGCUCCUGAGUAAA
Molecule: long non-coding RNA, 396 nt
Organism: Felis catus (domestic cat)
Lineage: Eukaryota; Metazoa; Chordata; Mammalia; Carnivora; Felidae
Exons: 3
Source: RefSeq, a predicted model, not a curated record